AAGGUCGGAUAUUUUCCAAAUGUGUUGAAAUGCAUGCUGGUUCCGACCUGUAGACCAGUGAAGUUCAUACCGAGCUGAUGCGAGUGCUGGAUUGGGCAGGCAGCUGGCAGGCUCACAUCUCAACAGUUUCUUAGCCUCGGUAAAGAGCCAUGUUUGACCCUGACUAGCCACCGUACAGGCCUUUCUGGGCGUGCAAGCCACAAGAUUUAGACUGCCUGACCAUCUAAAUUUUGGGCCCGAGAGGGACUUAUUUUGGCUUUUGGUUUUACUUAACCACAUACACACACAUCCUAGCUGUCAGCAAAGCCACACCCCUGUCCAGCCCUCUAAGUCUAGGGCGGAGGGUGGCCCGUGGGCGUCACGUGACGCGCGCGUCCUGCGUCUCCUCCCCGGCAACCGUCCGGAGACACACACCUCCGGCUGCAACAUGAACGUCAUCUAUCCGCUGGCGGUGCCCAAGGGCCGCCGGAUCUGCUGUGAGGUGUGCGAAGCCCCGGCCGAACGGGUGUGCACGGCUUGCACAGUCACUUAUUACUGCGGUGUGGUUCAUCAAAGAGCCGACUGGGGCAGUAUCCACGAGAAGAUAUGUCAGCUCUUGAUUCCACUGCGCACUUCCAUGCCUUUCUACAAUUCAGAAGAAGAGCGGCAGCAUGGCCUGCAGCAGCUGCAACAGCGGCAGAAACAUUUGAUUGAAUUCUGCUACACCGUAGCCCAGAAAUAUCUCUUUGAAGGAAAACAUGAAGCUGCUGUACCAGCAGCUUUGCAUUCUCUUCGCUUUCGCAUGAAUGUGCAUGGCCUGAGCUCAGUAGAGCUUGUGCCGGCUUACCUGCUGCUGGCGGAGGCUAGCCUUGGUAUGGGUCAGAUUAUUCAGGCUGAAGAGUAUCUUUCCCAGGCCCAGUGGACAGUCCUCAAAUCUACUGAUUGUAGUCAUGCCAUUCACUCUUUGCUGCAUCGGAACCUGGGACUUCUCUUUAUGGCUAAGAAAAACUAUGAGGAAGCCCGUUAUCAUCUGGCCAAUGAUAUUUAUUUUGCCAGUUGUGCCUUUGGAACCGAGGACAUCAGGACCUCAGGAGGCUACUUCCAUUUGGCUAAUAUUUUCUUUGGUCUAGGAAAGCUGGAUAUCGCAGACACACUCUACAUCAAGGUUACUGAGAUCUGGAACAAAUAUUUGAAUAAUCACUAUGAAGUCCUCCUCCAAGUUCGUACCCAACAAAUAGAUUUACUGGGCAAACAAUUUGAGACUGACACUGGCUUGGGUCAAUACAUAGUAACUAAAGCAGAGUUCAAAAGCUGCUGCAGUAAUAUAGUAAACAAACUCACAUGGACAGAGGAGACCAAGAAGAUGACUGCUGAAGCUUCUUUGAAUUUGGAGAAGAAUGGAACAAAAAUCCCUUGCUCCCACCUCUUGUUAUAGAAUGAAAACUGAGUUGAAUCAAUGAAUCAAGGAACCCUGCGGUGACAUACUCCUUGUAUUGGGGGCCAAAGAGAUCAAGAGUUCAAUACUCAGAAAGAGAAAGCUUAGCAAUGUUGGGAAACAUGGGGACAAGCACUUUGGUUUUUUUUUUUUUUAAGGUUUUUCUGGUAAUGUCAUGCUAGGCAAGACUGGAGAAGUGCUUGAAACUGCUUGGUUUCCUCUCUACCUGCAGAGCAGUCCUCUGCUGAAGAACUGUGAUUUGUACAGUUUCCAUCACUGUCCCUGUGAAGCUUUCAGAAAGCUGAGUACCCUAGAAGCUCCUGUGCUUAGCAGUGAGGAUGAAGCCCAGGAAGCAGAAGCCAUUAGGACGCUAACCUCAAUCUUGGACAUUCGAGAGUCUACAUCUGACAAAAC
Erinaceus europaeus (western European hedgehog) is the source of this 1828-nucleotide RNA transcript. It is a transcript of the gene named zinc finger MYND-type containing 12, with no coding region annotated. Lineage: Eukaryota; Metazoa; Chordata; Mammalia; Eulipotyphla; Erinaceidae. The transcript is spliced from 8 exons. The record is from RefSeq and is a predicted model, not a curated record.